GGCGGGGUCGGGGCUACCGCGGCCCGAGCCCCCAGGCUCUGGGUGUUGGGAGGGAGGGAGAGAGCGUCGGAGUCAAGCCGGGCCUUCCAGCCUGAGACCGGAUCAUCCUAGCUGAGCUCCAGCAGUGGGGAGGCAGAUGGUGAAGUCCUUGGACCACAGCUUGAGCCACGAGGGCCAUGGAACUGGGAUUCCUAGUUGAAUGUUGCCGCCAAGCCUAGCACAGAAGCCAGAGUGGCCAGGAUGCAAAUCCAGGGGAGCUCUGGAGUUGGAACUUGGUACACCAUGCUGUAUAGGAACUGAGUUCACAACUUAAUACUCCUUCCCUCUGCAGACACUGAGAUAAUGUAAAGUGGGUUUAUGCCACUCUCUAAGUGUGUAUGUGAGGGUGUUCUUACUAUAUACCUUUGAAGUAAAAAUUCCCAUGUAAAAUC
Molecule: long non-coding RNA, 431 nt
Organism: Phascolarctos cinereus (koala)
Lineage: Eukaryota; Metazoa; Chordata; Mammalia; Diprotodontia; Phascolarctidae
Source: RefSeq, a predicted model, not a curated record